Oncorhynchus nerka (sockeye salmon) is the source of this 491-nucleotide long non-coding RNA. RefSeq lists it as uncharacterized. NCBI's taxonomy places the organism in Eukaryota, Metazoa, Chordata, Actinopteri, Salmoniformes, Salmonidae. The transcript has 2 exons. The record is from RefSeq and is a predicted model, not a curated record.
AGGGGGUGUGUCCCAGGGGGAUGUGGACAUGGCAGAUGUGGAAUGAGAAGAGGAUGAGAGACUGUUCUGUUGGCCCCAUGCCAAGGCCAGACCAGGCCCCAUAUUCAGACCAGGCCCCAUAUUCAGACCGGGCCCCUGGAUCAGUUUUAGCCUUUUAGACCUAAUGAAUAUGAUUACAUGGACAGGGGAGGCCUGAUCCUGGAUCAGUUUUAGCCUUUUAGACCUAAUGAAUAUGAUUACAUGGACAGGGGGAGGCCUGAUCCUGGAUCAGUUUUAGCCUUUUAGACCUAAUGAAUAUGAUUACAUGGACAGGGGGAGGCCUGAUCCUGGAUCAGUUUUAGCCUUUUAGACCUAAUGAAUAUGAUUACAUGGACAGGGGAGGCCUGAUCCUGAGCCAGAGAGCCUUGUGUUUGUGUAUCUGAAUGCCGUCAUUGUAAAUAAGAAUUUGUUCUUAACUGACUUGCCUAGUUUAAAUAAAAUUAAAAAACAGA